This 73-nucleotide transfer RNA is filed under the name Canis lupus familiaris (dog). It matches the Rfam family "tRNA". From Rfam's summary of the family: Transfer RNA (tRNA) molecules are approximately 80 nucleotides in length. Their secondary structure includes four short double-helical elements and three loops (D, anti-codon, and T loops). Further hydrogen bonds mediate the characteristic L-shaped molecular structure. tRNAs have two regions of fundamental functional importance: the anti-codon, which is responsible for specific mRNA codon recognition, and the 3' end, to which the tRNAs corresponding amino acid is attached (by aminoacyl-tRNA synthetases). tRNAs cope with the degeneracy of the genetic code in two manners: having more than one tRNA (with a specific anti-codon) for a particular amino acid; and 'wobble' base-pairing, i.e. permitting non-standard base-pairing at the 3rd anti-codon position. Lineage: Eukaryota; Metazoa; Chordata; Mammalia; Carnivora; Canidae. The record is from Rfam by way of RNAcentral. RNAcentral also lists the same sequence under 1 other name.
ACCUGGCUGGCUCAGUUGGUAGAACAUGAGAUUCUUAAUCUCAGGGUCAUGAGUUCAAGCCCCACACUAGGUG